This is a long non-coding RNA of Aethalodelphis obliquidens (Pacific white-sided dolphin), 5569 nucleotides long. RefSeq lists it as uncharacterized. NCBI's taxonomy places the organism in Eukaryota, Metazoa, Chordata, Mammalia, Artiodactyla, Delphinidae. The record is from RefSeq and is a predicted model, not a curated record. The transcript is spliced from 10 exons.
CAAGGAACAAAGAAUAGAUAAGGUGAUUUUUAACCAAGAACAGAUAAGGUCUCAGUAGUUAAAACCUGAUAUAUUUGUGUGACCAGUUUUCAACACAUGACACCAUCUUUACACCAGCCUUGUCAAUGGCCAUCAGCAAGGAAGGGGGAUAAGUGACUGCAUUUCCAGCCUCUCAUCAUAGCUGUGACCUUUGUAAAAUCAAUCACAAGCAGACCCAGGCUUGUGGUCCCUUUUGACACUGUGGAUGCAGAAGGAAGAGACAAAGUCCUUUCUGUAUAUGGAUGUACAGAUUUGUCCAAAUGAAAUGAGGAAGCAAAUUUAAGCUGCAUGUUUGUUUGGUUGAGAAGGAAUACAUUUUUUCUCAUCAUAAUCACAAACUAAAGCCAUUAAAAAGAGAAAGUACCCCUCAAUUUCAACCUUGCUCUGGAGGGCCAGCAUUUGUGUUCUUUCUACAAAUCAUUUGUUGAUACAAUGAGACUGUGAGGUUGGCUGCUGCCAACACAUCCAUCUGUCAACCAAGGCCAUCUGCAGAGGAGACACAAAGCUUCAAUGCCUGGAAGUGAAUUUGUUGGCAUUUCAAGACAAACAUCUCUUUGGCUACAACUACUGAAACUUAAAUCCAAAAAUGGGAGGAAAAUCUAGGCCCAGUCUGAAGUCCCAAGAACCAGAAAUGCUGAUGCACGAGAGCAGGACAAGAUGGAUGGCCCAGCUCGAGCAAAUUUACACUUCCUUUGCCUUUUUAUUCUCUUCAAGCCUUCAGUGGAUUGGAUGAUUCUCACUGGCAUUGGACGAUUUACGUGACACUCGAUGGCAGGCUUGGGGACACUCAGAAGGUGCAGGAUGAGCAAGACCCAUAUACGUACUCAACAUGCCAGGUUGCAUGAUAUAGGAGAAAGAACAGGAUAUGGAAUCAGAGAAACCUGGGGUUAAAUCCUGCGUAAUGUUGGAUUUCAUGUCUGUACCCCUCAGUGGCAGAAUGUGACCUGGAAGUAAAUGGGAAAAACAAUUCUGGGAAAUGCAGCCUUCUCCCCUGUGAUGCAAAGCAAAACCUGGAGAGAGGCAGUGAUGACAUGGAAUUAACAACAGACAAUCUGACAAAAUGAACUCAAGGUGGAUUAGACCAAGCUCCUCAAUGUCCCAUUGAUUGAUUGAUUGAUUGAUUGAUGAUUGAUGGAGGAAGAUCAAAACUUCAACACUGGAUUGUUAAACUAGGGCUGACUAAUAAUUUGCUGAGCAACAGGUCAACAGAAGACAAAAGAAGAAGAUGGCCACCACUUCAAGGAGAGAGGCCUCAGAAGAAACCAAACUUGGCAACAUCGUCAUCCUGGACCUCUAGCCUCCAGAUCUGUGAGAAAAAAUUUCUGUUGUUUAAGCCACCCAGUCUGUGGUAAUUGUUAUGGCAGCCCUAGCAAAUGAAUACAGCAUCCUACAACCAGGAUGAGGAACAAGGCUGAGAGUGAUGCCUUCUACCACGUCAGAGACAGGGUCCUUGGUGGCAUUCCCGAAUCGCUAAGCAAAUCAAGCCCAGAGCUUAUUCUGUCACUGAACUUUGCAUGACAAAAGCAAAAUUGUCCCCCUUUUUGCUUUAUUGUUUCAACUGUAACUAAUAACCAAGUACGCCACUGUGUCCUUAGUAACCUAGAACCAAGCCUCAUCAUAGUAAGUGCUUAAUAGUAUUUGUUAAAUGACUAGAGGAAGGAAUGAAAGAAUAAGCCACAAAAGGAAUUGUAGUGUGUUGAUCUGGGAAGCCCAGUGAGGUAGCAAGCAGCAGAGGAGUGAGUCAAUCUUAUUAUUAUUACUAUUAUUACUACAUUCCACUGGACACGUUCUAUGUGGACCAGGAGACAGAUAUUACCAUUUUUAGGCAACAGAGCUAAUUCAUAAAGGUGACCUGUACUCAUUAUAACAAAAGUUGUUUAAUUGGCAGACAUCUGAAAAUGUAAAAAUUCCCCUCAAUUUCUACAACUGGAAAUUUCUAAUUAGAAGCACAGGACUACUAGAGCCAGAUCAUUUCUGGUCUCUUAAUAUCAUCCAGAUAACUCCUUCAUUUUAGAGAUGAGAAAAUGAACACUUAGUGAGGUUAAGUGCCCUUUCCAGGUCACACAGUGUGAUAAUGGUGGAGCAAACGGAGGGAACAAUAAAGAAACCCAAUUUCUCUAAAGAGGAAAAAGUUUUCCUGGGAUAAGAGUUCAUUCCUUUUAGUUAAAUUAUUCCCAUAGUGAUAGGACAAUACCUUCUUUUCCUGCUCAAGAGAAACUGAUUUUCUUUACAAACAUAGACCAUCUCUUCUCAGAGUGGGAAACAAUGAUGGUAUUGUAUAGCCACUGUAUGAGUAAUCUAAAUGAAAAGCAUGCACAUUUAUUCAGAUGUUAGCCAAUCAAGCAACUUUUAGUGGAAUGAGUGAGUCAUAUGGUAGAGAAAUUUUGUAAUAUUAAGUAGAAAAGAAUACACAAAUGUCAGACAAAAAAAUCCUUUAAAACCCUUUUAGUUCAGGAAACAUACUUAAAUCUUAAGCAGUGUGUUUUGUGUUCUUUUUACACUUAAGAAAAACUUUGACAUUGUGGCAUAAAAGGUGAAAGAUGAGAUAAUAAGACAUUAGGCAAGUUGUGAAAAGAGAAAUACUGAGAAGUUGACAGAAAUAAAAAGGUACUGGAUAAUAUAAGGAAUGAAUGUUUUGAAACUGCUCCAAGGAAAGGCAACUUUUAAGAUACUUUAGAAACAUUAAAAGGUAGAGUUAACACUGCUAAUCAAAAUCAAAUCAAUAAUUAGAAAAAGUUUUACUAGUUAGAAGAAUAGGACCAAGAUAUAUAAAUGGUGAGAGAGAAGGACCAUAGUUACUGACGUAUGAAUAGUUAGUGCUCCUGAACAUAGAUAAGAAUAAAUGGAAGAUAAUCAAUAUUCAGACAUAAAUAAAAUGAGCUAAGAAAUCACUUUAAUCUGCAGAUCCAAAGAGCUUACUUGGCUAAAAGCAGAACUGAUAUAGUGGAUCAAUAAAUAGAUAUAACCAGGUAAAAGUAUGAAUCCUCAAAAAAAACAAAAAUUAGGGGACUUCCCUGGAGGUCCAGUGGUUAAGACUCUGAACUUCCAUUGCAGGGGGUGCAGGUUUGUUCCCUGGUAAGGGAACUAAGAUCCCAUACCCAGCUCAGCACAGCAAAAAAAGGAAAAGAAAAUCUGGAAACAAAAGAAAAAAUCUGGUAAGCUAUAAAGGAAGAAAUUCCAGGCUGACUUUAGACUUCUCUGUAACGUGGGGUGCCAGAAGUCCGUGGAGCAACAUCUAUGGUGAUCUGAGUUGUGAAUUCAAGAUUUCCUCAUCUAUACUGCCAUUGUUUUGGAGGCAAGAGAAAGUCUUUUUCAUUGAUGCCGGGUGCUUGAGAAUCCUAUCCAGGCUGAAUGAGGAAAAAUAUUAGCACUCAAAGUACUCCAGAAAAUUGGAAGCUCUAUCAAAAUAAAGGAACCAAGAAUGGGGAAGCCAACUAUUGGUGAGCAUUGGAACAUUCAAAUAUAGAAAUACUUGCUGAUAAUUAUUGCAAGCAUAGUCACAAAGCAGAAGACAAAUGAGAUAAAUAUAUUUUUUAAAUGAGAUUUUAUUAAAAUGCUUAGUCCCGUGCUUGGAAAACAAAUGCAAUAAAAAUUAAAUAGACGCAUUUAAUAUUAAUAUCACAUAAAUAAAAUUUAAGCAAGCUAAUAAAUGAAACUAGAAGGAUUGUGUGUGUGUGUGUGUGUGUGUGUUUGUAACAUUAAGCACUCAGACCUAUAUUAAAGAUAUAUUAGUCAGGAGCCUUUAGGAGCCAAAUAACAAAAUGUUAAAAUUUAUAAAAUAAAUAUUGAUAAAAAAUACUGGGAGAAAAUUAGACAAAGUGUGAAACUGUUUAACAGCACUUUUAGUCACUCAUGACAUAUCAAAUAGGCAAGAAGUACAUAUAUGGAGAUAGAGAAAAUCUGAAGACUGUAAUUAAUAAGGGCAAAUUCAGAAAGAUAAGCACAAAGAAUACAUUGAGAGACUGAAUAUACAUAUGGACAAUGACCAGACUGUAUAUAAAGAUGGAACUCUGAACUGCAACCUGAAGUAACCAGCUCAGGAAGCCAGCCUACUAUCUGUAGCAACCAGUCCAGAAAGCCAAACAAUAACUGCUCUAGUGAUCUGCCCCAAAUAGGAAGCACUUGAUUAAUAACUGACAGCUUCCCUUAUUAAUAACCGACUCUGCUUCCAACUUAGGACCAAACAGAGAAAGACAAAUAUGCAAUGCUAACCAAUCACAUAGGAUGCUGUGCUUCUGGUUAGUCUGCCUACUGCUUCCCAUGCCAACAGUUUCCAAUCAGGGCACACCUGCAGCCUUUCCUUUUUUUGUGUGUGUUACAAAGCUUUCCCACUCCUCUGCCUACCUUUGAGUCCUGCCAACCCAAAUGAUACUGACUGACUUCCUUGCUAUAGUAAGCUCUAAAGUAAACAACCAUUGCUUUUUUUCAUUUAGGUGAUUUUUUUUUUAAUUUCCCCAAUUUUAAUUAUUAUGUCCUAAUUUUUAGUAAACGUUAGAUAUUUUUCAAAAUAAAUAAUUAUGUGUUAUACCUCAAAGGUACUUUUAGUAAAUUCCAAAGAGCAGGAAUCCUUCUAAAAAUAUUCUCUGACUGCAAGGCAAUAAAAUUAAAUGUGAAUUACAAAAUGUUAAAGAAAAAUAAAGUUGCCUAGAAAUUAAAGAUAAGAAUAACCAAAAACUACUAAAUAGUUAUUUAGUAGUGAAAGAGGAAAUUAAAAAUUCAACACUAAAAUAUUUGGAAAAUAAAAACAAUAAGAAUUAUCUCAUAAAAUUUAUGCAUUUAGAAAAAAAUCCUUAGUCUUAAGCAUUUUCAUUAUGAAAGGGAAGAAUUACAAGUAAUGUCAUCAAGAUGGCAACAUAGAUCAUUCCUGACUUCAGUCCCCCUCACAAGAAGACCAACUAGCAAGUGUCCAUAGACAAGACAUGAUUGUGAAAACUCUAGAACACAGGGGUGAUGUGAAACAACCCCCUGGACCACAGAGACCAAGAAGGACCACGUUAGAAGGGUAAUUUGAAGAACUACACCCUGACAGCAUCGUCCUUCCCCCAGGCAGGCACAAGGCCACACUGAGAGGGCCCUACUGGGCCUACAAUUUCUCCAGUGGGGAAAAAAUAUCCCAAAGUGAGCAUCCACUUCCCCCAGUGUUGCAGGAUGCUUCCCAGGAUGCCCUCUCUGGUCUCAACUCACAAGAAUCACUGGGAAAAUCUGCAGGGCUUGACCACUGUGGAUCAGAAACAAGCAGAGAAGAAAGGUGGAGCUUAUAACAACCAGUGCUCAGAUCUUGGCAGAUGACAUUUCUCUUCACACAUGCACCAGAGCAAAGAUCACAGAUGGUGACCCCAUUUGGCUAGGGAGCUUAGUUGGUAUUUUUGCCUGAUUUGGGUUGCAGGAUAUAAAAUCAACAUACAAAAGUCAGCUGCAUUUUGAUGCACUAACAAUUAUCUGAAAAAGAAAUAAAGGAAACAAUCCCAUUUUCAAUAGCAUCCAAAACAAUAAAAUACUUAUUAAUAAAUUUAAUGAAGGAGGUGAAAGA